RNAcentral lists this non-coding RNA (28 nucleotides) under Rattus norvegicus (Norway rat). Lineage: Eukaryota; Metazoa; Chordata; Mammalia; Rodentia; Muridae. The record is from RNAcentral.
UGUGGCCUCUACUACCAAGAAGUUCUCC